RNAcentral lists this ribosomal RNA (492 nucleotides) under uncultured bacterium. RNAcentral describes it as "partial 16S ribosomal RNA". It matches the Rfam family "Bacterial small subunit ribosomal RNA", at positions 29 to 507 of the family's 1533-position model. The record is from RNAcentral.
AGUGAACGCUGGCGGUAUGCCUAACACGUGCAAGUCGAACGGCAACACAGUAAGAGCUUGCUCUUACGGGUGGCGAGUGGCGGACGGGUGAGGAAUACAUCGGAAUCUACUUUUUCGUGGGGGAUAACGUAGGGAAACUUACGCUAAUACCGCAUACGACCUACGGGUGAAAGCAGGGGAUCUUCGGACCUUGCGCGAUUGAAUGAGCCGAUGUCGGAUUAGCUAGUUGGCGGGGUAAAGGCCCACCAAGGCGACGAUCCGUAGCUGGUCUGAGAGGAUGAUCAGCCACACUGGAACUGAGACACGGUCCAGACUCCUACGGGAGGCAGCAGUGGGGAAUAUUGGACAAUGGGCGCAAGCCUGAUCCAGCCAUACCGCGUGGGUGAAGAAGGCCUUCGGGUUGUAAAGCCCUUUUGUUGGGAAAGAAAAGCAGCAGGUGAAUACCCCGCUGUUCUGACGGUACCCAAAGAAUAAGCACCGGCUAACUUCGUG